This 497-nucleotide ribosomal RNA is filed under the name uncultured bacterium. RNAcentral describes it as "partial 16S ribosomal RNA". It matches the Rfam family "Bacterial small subunit ribosomal RNA", at positions 28 to 507 of the family's 1533-position model. The record is from RNAcentral.
GGUGAACGCUGGCGGCGUGCCUAAUACAUGCAAGUCGAGCGAACAGACGAGGAGCUUGCUCCCCUGACGUUGGCGGCGGACGGGUGAGUAACACGUGGAUAACCUACCUAUAAGACUGGGAUAACUUCGGGAAACCGGAGCUAAUACCAGAGCAUAUAUUGAACCGCAUGGUUCAAUAGUUCAAGACGGUUUUGCUGUUACUUAUAGCUGGAUCCGGGUCGCAUUAGCUAGUUGGUAAGGUAACGGCUUACCAAGGCGACGAUGCGUAGCCGAGCUGAGAGGGUGAUCGGCCACACUGGAACUGAGACACGGUCCAGACUCCUACGGGAGGCAGCAGUAGGGAAUAUUCCGCAAUGGGCGAAAGCCUGACGGAGCAACGCCGCGUGAGUGAUGAAGGUCUUCGGAUCGUAAAACUCUGUUAUUAGGGAAGAACAAAUGUGUAAGAAACCAUGGACGUCUUGACGGUACCUAAUCAGAAAGCCCCGGCUAACUUCGUG